This is a long non-coding RNA of Sinocyclocheilus grahami, 320 nucleotides long. RefSeq lists it as uncharacterized. The record is from RefSeq and is a predicted model, not a curated record. The transcript is spliced from 3 exons. NCBI's taxonomy places the organism in Eukaryota, Metazoa, Chordata, Actinopteri, Cypriniformes, Cyprinidae.
UUCCUGUCUCUGUGCCAUCCUCUUCAGCCCGAUCCACCAAGGAACACGUCCUCACAUCCAUGUAUGCCAGAGCUGUGUGGGUGGAGCAUGAUAAAGAAGUGGAGGGAACGGCGCCAGACAACUGGAUUGAUGCUGAAAAAAAAAUCAUUAGAUGGCCAAAAAAAGGGGAAAAGGCAGCUUUCCUCAAUCGGCACUCCCCUCCGGAUGACUGGAUGACGUUCACCUUGGUGAAGCGUAAAAUGACCUCCAAAUCUGAUGAUUUGGAGGAGGAAGAAGAGAACAUGACAGGUAACGGUUUCCUAAGCUUGCUGACACUCCAC